Molecule: ribosomal RNA, 487 nt
Filed under: uncultured bacterium
Lineage: Bacteria
Description: bacterial SSU rRNA
Rfam family: Bacterial small subunit ribosomal RNA
Source: RNAcentral
AUUGAACGCUGGCGGCAUGCCUUACACAUGCAAGUCGAACGGUAACAGCACUUCGGUGGCUGACGAGUGGCGAACGGGUGAGUAAUACAUCGGAACGUGCCCGAGAGUGGGGGAUAACGCAGCGAAAGCUGUGCUAAUACCGCAUACGAUCUACGGAUGAAAGCAGGGGACCGGCAAGGCCUUGCGCUCAUGGAGCGGCCGAUGGCAGAUUAGGUAGUUGGUGGGAUAAAAGACUUACCAAGCCGACGAUCUGUAGCUGGUCUGAGAGGACGACCAGCCACACUGGGACUGAGACACGGCCCAGACUCCUACGGGAGGCAGCAGUGGGGAAUUUUGGACAAUGGGCGAAAGCCUGAUCCAGCCAUGCCGCGUGCAGGAUGAAGGCCUUCGGUUGUAAACUGCUUUUGUACGGAACGAAAGGUACUUUCUAAUAAAGAAGGCUCAUGACGGUACCGUAAGAAUAAGCACCGGCUAACUACGUGCCAGC